Exaiptasia diaphana is the source of this 359-nucleotide long non-coding RNA. RefSeq lists it as uncharacterized. Lineage: Eukaryota; Metazoa; Cnidaria; Anthozoa; Actiniaria; Aiptasiidae. The record is from RefSeq and is a predicted model, not a curated record. The transcript is spliced from 4 exons.
AGAUAACACCAUCAUACGGAACACUUACAGUAUACGCUUCGAGAACAAACGCAUCGCCUGGUCCAGACAACUACGAUUUUAAAUACAAUGUGGACAAUACUGUAUUGAGGCAGAGAAGAAGUACUGAUACUGGAAAAGGCAAACGUAUAGAAUUCUUCAACGUAUGCAAAGGUUAUAACAAGACAACCUGUCCACCACUGUAUAUCGCAGUAUACGGCGAAAACUCAACAAACUCUUGUUCCGGUAAGAAUUUGAACACCACCUCAGGGCUGGUGCAGAAUUUUUYUAAAGAGGGGCACUGAUGAUCUGAUAUUUGAAGACCUAAUGAAGGGCAAAGAAAUACUUUGAAACUUUGACAA